UUGGAUUCUAUUUAUGUAAUUGGGCUUGUAUUGGCCAAAUCCCGUUCUAGGUAGGGUUUUGUUUUGACUAUUUAAACCUAAUUUGCCAUGUAAUUUCAUUAGUUUUAGAUGAAUAUGGAUUAUUGAGGUUUGUUGUGGCGUCUCUUUUCUCUUCCUUCCCCUUCCCCCUAAAUUUCUACUUCUACUCCGGUUUCUCUCCCUUUCUUGCUAUCAUCUUCUUUAUCUUGCAUCAAUUAGUUNCUCCCUCCUUUGCCAUGGUGGGUGAAGCUUCCAUCUGCCUCCUCCGCUACAGUGGGUGGAGCUUGAAGAACAAGUAAGACUUUUAUUAAUGCCAAGGAAAUGGGCUAGGGGCUAAGCUCUGGACAAUUCUCUCAUAUUUCUCUCUUUCAUUUCUUGUUAAACUAUAAAAUAAUGUUUCACACACGCACACGAUCAAAGUAUAGAAGCAACGUUCCAUUCUCAAAAAGGAGGGGUUUUUUUCCUUCUAUUUGUUGUACACCACUUAGUGCAAUUCUUGAUCAAGAUUGUCAUCUGGGAUUCUGGGUGGGUAGCGUCCUUUUGGAGAGAGAAAAAAGCUAAAGAAAAUAGGUCUUUCUUAUUUUGCCUUGGAGUUUAAGAGAAAUCUCCUCUCAGAUCUAUUAUGGGUUCUUCUUUUUAUUGAAAUUCAUGAUCUUAUUUGUUGAAACAUUGUCGUUUCUUUAAGAUUUCUUGUCGUGUUAUUAAUUAUUCAGUAAGCGAUCUAUUUGGCAUGAGAGAUACUUCCAUGGAGAGAUACAAGUUUUUCUCAUUUGGCGUUCUUGUUUGUCAGAAAGAUUUGUUAAGCUUCAAUUUUAGUUUCUCUAUGAAUGGAUCACUCCGUACCUUGUUCUUUAGAGAAACCUUCAGUUCAAUCUACAGUUGUGAGAGAUUGUGGUGUAAAGAAUUGAAAAGGUUAAUUACGCCAUUUCAUUUAAGUCUAUUUUCGUCAAUACGAAAAUUGUGGUGUAGAUAAAAUAAUUUUUGUAGUGGUAAUAUAAUUACCCAUUCACAAAUUAGGGAUUAAUUAUUUAAUUAACAUUUAUUAAACCCACAUCUCGCCAUUUCUCUCUCCUUAUCACAAAAAUCACAACUCACCAUUUUUCCCUCCAUCACAGAAAUAACUUCAAAAAUACCUGGCUCCGACAACAAAAACGAGAGGAAAAUUGACUCCGGUGGCCGCGUUUGUUAUNN
Molecule: long non-coding RNA, 1209 nt
Filed under: Olea europaea (common olive)
Lineage: Eukaryota; Viridiplantae; Streptophyta; Magnoliopsida; Lamiales; Oleaceae
Description: long non-coding RNA (OEUR_LNC011995)
Source: RNAcentral